GAUUCUGGCUCAGGAUGAACGCUAGCGGCAGGCCUAAUACAUGCAAGUCGUACGGGAUCUCCCCUCGGGGGAGUGAGAGUGGCGCACGGGUGCGUAACGCGUAUGCAACCAACCCUCAUCCGGGGGACAGCCGGUGGAAACGCCGGGUAAUACCCCAUAUCCACUUUGGGAGGCAUCUUCUGAGGUGGAAAGACUUUGGUCGGAGGAGGACGGGCAUGCGUCCCAUUAGCUAGUCGGCGGGGUGACGGCCCACCGAGGCGACGAUGGGUAGGGGAUCUGAGAGGACGGUCCCCCACACUGGUACUGAGACACGGACCAGACUCCUACGGGAGGCAGCAGUAAGGAAUAUUGGGCAAUGGGGGGAACCCUGACCCAGCCCAUGCCGCGUGAGGGAAGUAGGCCCUACGGGUCGUGAACCUCUUUUGUCCAGGGACAAGGACGGGGUCGGGAACUCCGUUUGAGGGUACUGGAAGAAUAAGCAUCGGCUAACUCCGUGCCAGCCGCCGC
This 507-nucleotide ribosomal RNA is filed under the name uncultured bacterium. RNAcentral's name for it is "bacterial SSU rRNA". It matches the Rfam family "Bacterial small subunit ribosomal RNA", at positions 15 to 518 of the family's 1533-position model. The record is from RNAcentral.